RNAcentral lists this ribosomal RNA (274 nucleotides) under uncultured archaeon. RNAcentral's name for it is "partial 16S ribosomal RNA". It matches the Rfam family "Archaeal small subunit ribosomal RNA", at positions 345 to 620 of the family's 1478-position model. The record is from RNAcentral.
AACCUCCGCAAUGCGAGCAAUCGCGACGGGGGGACCCCAAGUGCCACUCUUAACGGGGUGGCUUUUAUGAAGUGUAAAAAGCUUCAAGAAUAAGGGCUGGGCAAGACCGGUGCCAGCCGCCGCGGUAACACCGGCAGCUCAAGUGGUGAUCGUUAUUAUUGGGUUUAAAACGUCCGUAGCUGGUCUAGUAAAUUCCUGGGUAAAUCGAAUUGCUUAACAAUUCGAAUUCCGGGUAGACUGCUAGACUUGGGACCGGAAGAGGUCAGAAGUACUU